RNAcentral lists this small RNA (280 nucleotides) under Meriones unguiculatus (Mongolian gerbil). RNAcentral's name for it is "Metazoan signal recognition particle RNA (ENSMUGG00000008549.1)". It matches the Rfam family "Metazoan signal recognition particle RNA", at positions 1 to 224 of the family's 299-position model. Rfam says of the family: The signal recognition particle (SRP) is a universally conserved ribonucleoprotein. It is involved in the co-translational targeting of proteins to membranes. The eukaryotic SRP consists of a 300-nucleotide 7S RNA and six proteins: SRPs 72, 68, 54, 19, 14, and 9. Lineage: Eukaryota; Metazoa; Chordata; Mammalia; Rodentia; Muridae. The record is from RNAcentral.
GCCCCUGGGAGUGGCGCGGUGGCGCACGCCUGUAGUCCCAGCUACUCGGGAGGCUGAGACAGGAGGAUCGCUUGAGUCCAGGAGUUCUGGGCUGUAGUGCGCUAUGCCGAUCGGGUGUCCGCACUAAGUUCGGCAUCAAUAUGGUGACCUCCCGGGAGCGGGGGACCACCAGGUUGCCUAAGGAGGGGUGAACCGGCCCAGGUCGGGAGUGGAUGAUCUUACAGAAAACAAGAGUUACUGAGACACAAUCUCAGAACAGUUGCAGCAAGUGUUUUUUUUU